GUGAUUAGAGUGGACAUCCAUUCAAAAUUAAAGUCGGGGCAACCUGACGCUUCUUGUGGGGCCCGCGGCCUAUCAGCUAGUUGGUGAGGUAACGGCCCACCAAGGCUUUGACGGGUAGCUGGUCUGAGAGGACGACCAGCCACACUGGGACUGAGACACGGCCCAGACACCUACGGGUGGCAGCAGUCGAGAAUUUUUGACAAUGGGGGAAACCCUGAUCGAGCGACGCCGCGUGGAGGAUGAAGGUCUUCGGAUUGUAAACUCCUGUCAUUGGGGAACAAGGCGCAGAUAUUAACUGUAUUUGUGUUGAUAGUACCCGAAGAGGAAGAGACGGCUAACUCUGUGCCAGCAGCCGCGGUAAUACAGAGGUCUCAAGCGUUGUUCGGAUUCAUUGGGCGAAAAGGGUGCGUAGGCGGCGCGGUAAGUCGGGUGUGAAAUCUCGGAGCUUAACUCCGAAACUGCAUUCGAUACUGCCGUGCUUGAGGACUGGAGAGGAGACUGGAAUUUACGGUGUAGCGGUGAAAUGCGUAGAUAUCGUAAGGAAGACCAGUGGCGAAGGCGGGUCUCUGGACAGUACCUGACGCUGAGGCACGAAGGUCAGGGGAGCAAACGGGAUUAGAUACCCCGGUAGUCCUGACAGUAAACGGUGCACGUUUGGUGUGGGAGGAUUCGACCCCUUCUGCGCCGGAGCUAACGCGUUAAACGUGCCGCCUGGGGAGUACGGUCGCAA
RNAcentral lists this ribosomal RNA (730 nucleotides) under uncultured bacterium. Its description in RNAcentral is "bacterial SSU rRNA". It matches the Rfam family "Bacterial small subunit ribosomal RNA", at positions 173 to 891 of the family's 1533-position model. The record is from RNAcentral.